Anser cygnoides (Swan goose) is the source of this 1785-nucleotide long non-coding RNA. The record is from Ensembl. Lineage: Eukaryota; Metazoa; Chordata; Aves; Anseriformes; Anatidae.
UAAUGGUCCCUCCUACCCUACAUUAAGUUAUACAUUAUAACUUAAUAGAGAUGAUGUCUAUAUCCCUUAACAAAUUGAAUUUAAAAUGUUGCAGCAGCUGCACAUAUAAUAGAAUCUACAAACUCUUCAGUAACCUAUUUAAUUAUAAGCUUUAUUUUAGCCAGUAAUAGAAGGUGCACAAGGAUGUGCAGAAUUUGGGGCUAUGGCCAAGAAGCCACCUGCCUUUUACAAUAUCACUUUGUAUCAAAAAUCAAAUGCACUUACCUUGUCUUUGUGAUUAAUGUAAAUAUGUACCCAUUCAACAUCUCUCUAUUUAUUUUUUUAAGAACCAACAGUUACAGAUCACAAGAACAAGGUAUUUCAGGGGCAACAAUGUUGACGUAAAACUCCAGACAACUAAAUUCACCUUUCCACUCUCCCAGGAACUUUCUCAGAAAAUCACAGCCAUGACUACAAAGAUCUUUAGGACUACAAAAUUGCUAAAAUGUGCUUUGUGGAAAUCACAGAAAUGCACAAAAGCAUGUUAGAUAAUUAACUCUUUGAUAGUCCAGGGUAUUUAUGAGUGCAAUUCCCACGUGCUGGACAAGGAUAAUGGGGUGCCAUCACCUUACAGAGAGGUGAUGAGGAUACAUGUACUAAGAUUCUGUGCAGUUCUGAGACUACAGAAACAGGAGCCAGAUGGUUCACACACUGAAAAGUGUUCAAUUAAAGCUUUAUAUUUUUUAAAGUGAGGCUCGUGCUUACAUCUAUUUAAACCAGUAUGUACAUGAUAGUUUAUCCAAGCUAUUCUGCCAAUAUAACACCAGAUACACAGCGAAACAAGACUAAAAUAUACCUGUUAUACCCAACAGAUCCACUAUGACGAGCUCUAGCAAAUUUCUUGGUGCUGCAAUUUCAGCUAACACAUGAUGUCCACGUAGGUGCACGGCACAUCCUUACAACAGCUUGCAACCGAUUCUACUACCUGCCGAUGCAUCUGUUUUGUACCUGAUGUUAAUGUGGUCUAUAAAUGAAGCCGCACACUCAUGCAUUUUUCUCCCUUCAUCCAAGCCACCAGGACAACAAAGAGAUGGCAUAAAUAAUUCACAGUAUGCUACCAAGAAAAACAAAGCUAUAGCACUUACCUAUCAUCUUAGCUGCAGUACUGGUCCAGCAAUGCAACUGGGCUGUCUGCAGACAUGCUUUCCCAUCUUCCUGGCACACGCUACUGGAGGAGAAGGAGGGGUUUUGCACUCAUUUGCUCUCUCUAAAAUGAUAUGAGAAAGAAAUAUGAGAAAGAAUAUUAACAGACUACAAUUACAAACCUUAUUUUCCUGGGACACAAAGUAGAGGUUAUUUUACAAGUUGAGGUAUAUUAAUUUAUUAAUACAUGGCAUAAUAAUUGAUACUAUUAAUAAUUAAAUCUUAUGCUCAAAAUUGAAUACAGUGGAGAUUAACAAAUCCAUUGGCAUGAAACAAGGUAUGCCAGUAUCCAUUUGUUGAGUGUCCCAUAACAACUUGUAUUUAGAAGCUCAAUGAAUCUCUGACCAAGCCUACUGGUAAAUCUUCCCAUCUGCUACGAUGUCUACACUGCUCAUUUACUUCCCUGGGUGCACUGCAAGAUACAAAAGCUACCUUUUUUUUUGGCAAAAGUCAAGAAUAGCUACUCAGUUAAAUCUAAAAUUUAUUAGCACGUAAAAUCAUGCCUGUGCUGUUACUGUAUUCUGCAUAUAUAAUACACGAAUAACAAGCAUGAACGUAACCGCUACUGAAUUUUUUUGAAUAAAACUUGAAGCCUCACUUGCA